AGUGAACGCUGGCGGUAGGCCUAACACAUGCAAGUCGAACGGCAGCACAGUAAGAGCUUGCUCUUACGGGUGGCGAGUGGCGGACGGGUGAGGAAUACAUCGGAAUCUACUUUUUCGUGGGGGAUAACGUAGGGAAACUUACGCUAAUACCGCAUACGACCUACGGGUGAAAGCAGGGGAUCUUCGGACCUUGCGCGAUUGAAUGAGCCGAUGUCGGAUUAGCUAGUUGGCGGGGUAAAGGCCCACCAAGGCGACGAUCCGUAGCUGGUCUGAGAGGAUGGUCAGCCACACUGGAACUGAGACACGGUCCAGACUCCUACGGGAGGCAGCAGUCGGGAAUAUUGGACAAUGGGCGCAAGCCUGAUCCAGCCAUACCGCGUGGGUGAAGAAGGCCUUCGGGUUGUAAAGCCCUUUUGUUGGGAAAGAAAAGCAGCAGGUUAAUACCCCGCUGUUCUGACGGUACCCAAAGAAUAAGCACCGGCUAACUUCGUG
Molecule: ribosomal RNA, 492 nt
Filed under: uncultured bacterium
Lineage: Bacteria
Description: partial 16S ribosomal RNA
Rfam family: Bacterial small subunit ribosomal RNA
Source: RNAcentral